This 74-nucleotide transfer RNA is filed under the name Kitasatospora sp. GP30. RNAcentral describes it as "tRNA-Thr". Lineage: Bacteria; Bacillati; Actinomycetota; Actinomycetes; Kitasatosporales; Streptomycetaceae. The record is from RNAcentral.
GCCUCCUUAGCUCAGCUGGCCAGAGCACCGCUCUUGUAAGGCGGUGCUCAACGCCCGGAUCGGGCCGGGGGGCU